Molecule: non-coding RNA, 117 nt
Filed under: Gorilla gorilla gorilla (western lowland gorilla)
Lineage: Eukaryota; Metazoa; Chordata; Mammalia; Primates; Hominidae
Source: Rfam by way of RNAcentral
GCCGGGCGCGGUGGCUCACGCCUGUAAUCCCAGCUUCUGGGGAGGCCGAGGUGGGCGGAUCACCUGAGGUCAGGAGUUUGAGACCAGCCUGGCCAAGAUGGUGAGACCCCAUCUCAA